AAAGAUUAAGCCAUGCAUGUCUAAGUAUAAGCAAUUAUACAGCGAAACUGCGAAUGGCUCAUUAUAUAAGUUAUCGUUUAUUUGAUAGUACCUUACUACUUGGAUAACCGUGGUAAUUCUAGAGCUAAUACAUGCUGAAAAUCCCGACUCCGGAAGGGAUGUAUUUAUUAGAUUCAAAGCCAAUGCCCUCCGGGCUCACUGGUGAUUCAUGAUAACUCCUCGAAUCGCACAGCCUUGCGCCGGCGAUGGUUCAUUCAAAUUUCUUCCCUAUCAACUUUCGACGUUUGGGUAGUGGCCAAACAUGGUUG
Molecule: ribosomal RNA, 308 nt
Filed under: Ophiocordyceps sinensis
Lineage: Eukaryota; Fungi; Ascomycota; Sordariomycetes; Hypocreales; Ophiocordycipitaceae
Description: SSU rRNA
Rfam family: Eukaryotic small subunit ribosomal RNA
Source: RNAcentral